AGUGAACGCUGGCGGCGUGCUUAACACAUGCAAGUCGAACGAGAACGGAAUAUAGCUUGCUAUAUUUGUCAGCUAAGUGGCGCACGGGUGAGUAAUGUAUAGAUAACCUGCCCUUAAGAAAGGAAUAACAGUUGGAAACGACUGCUAAUGCCCCAUAUGCCUUUAAUACAUAAGUAUGCAAGGGAAACGCUUUAGUGCUUAAGGAUGGGUCUGUAUGGUAUCAGCUUGUUGGUGAGGUAAUGGCUCACCAAGGCUAUGACGCGUAACUGGUUUGAGAGGAUGAUCAGUCACACUGGAACUGGGACACGGUCCAGACUACUACGGGAGGCAGCAGUGGGGAAUAUUGCACAAUGGACGAAAGUCUGAUGCAGCAACGCCGCGUGGAGGAUGACACAUUUCGGUGCGUAAACUCCUUUUAUAUAGGAAGAUAAUGACGGUACUAUAUGAAUAAGCACCGGCUAACUCCGUGCCAGCCGCCGCCGUAA
RNAcentral lists this ribosomal RNA (485 nucleotides) under uncultured bacterium. Its description in RNAcentral is "partial 16S ribosomal RNA". It matches the Rfam family "Bacterial small subunit ribosomal RNA", at positions 29 to 523 of the family's 1533-position model. The record is from RNAcentral.